GGGGAGGUGGCUCAGUGGUUAAGAGCACUGGCUGCUCUUCCAGAGGUCCUGAGUUCAAUUCCCAGGCACCACA
RNAcentral lists this transfer RNA (73 nucleotides) under Mus musculus (house mouse). It matches the Rfam family "tRNA". From Rfam's summary of the family: Transfer RNA (tRNA) molecules are approximately 80 nucleotides in length. Their secondary structure includes four short double-helical elements and three loops (D, anti-codon, and T loops). Lineage: Eukaryota; Metazoa; Chordata; Mammalia; Rodentia; Muridae. The record is from Rfam by way of RNAcentral.